Molecule: ribosomal RNA, 1656 nt
Filed under: Escherichia coli
Lineage: Bacteria; Pseudomonadati; Pseudomonadota; Gammaproteobacteria; Enterobacterales; Enterobacteriaceae
Description: partial 23S ribosomal RNA
Rfam family: Bacterial large subunit ribosomal RNA
Source: RNAcentral
GAAUGCUGACAUAAGUAACGAUAAAGCGGGUGAAAAGCCCGCUCGCCGGAAGACCAAGGGUUCCUGUCCAACGUUAAUCGGGGCAGGGUGAGUCGACCCCUAAGGCGAGGCCGAAAGGCGUAGUCGAUGGGAAACAGGUUAAUAUUCCUGUACUUGGUGUUACUGCGAAGGGGGGACGGAGAAGGCUAUGUUGGCCGGGCGACGGUUGUCCCGGUUUAAGCGUGUAGGCUGGUUUUCCAGGCAAAUCCGGAAAAUCAAGGCUGAGGCGUGAUGACGAGGCACUACGGUGCUGAAGCAACAAAUGCCCUGCUUCCAGGAAAAGCCUCUAAGCAUCAGGUAACAUCAAAUCGUACCCCAAACCGACACAGGUGGUCAGGUAGAGAAUACCAAGGCGCUUGAGAGAACUCGGGUGAAGGAACUAGGCAAAAUGGUGCCGUAACUUCGGGAGAAGGCACGCUGAUAUGUAGGUGAAGUCCCUCGCGGAUGGAGCUGAAAUCAGUCGAAGAUACCAGCUGGCUGCAACUGUUUAUUAAAAACACAGCACUGUGCAAACACGAAAGUGGACGUAUACGGUGUGACGCCUGCCCGGUGCCGGAAGGUUAAUUGAUGGGGUUAGCGGUAACGCGAAGCUCUUGAUCGAAGCCCCGGUAAACGGCGGCCGUAACUAUAACGGUCCUAAGGUAGCGAAAUUCCUUGUCGGGUAAGUUCCGACCUGCACGAAUGGCGUAAUGAUGGCCAGGCUGUCUCCACCCGAGACUCAGUGAAAUUGAACUCGCUGUGAAGAUGCAGUGUACCCGCGGCAAGACGGAAAGACCCCGUGAACCUUUACUAUAGCUUGACACUGAACAUUGAGCCUUGAUGUGUAGGAUAGGUGGGAGGCUUUGAAGUGUGGACGCCAGUCUGCAUGGAGCCGACCUUGAAAUACCACCCUUUAAUGUUUGAUGUUCUAACGUUGGCCCCUGAUCGGGGUUGCGGACAGUGUCUGGUGGGUAGUUUGACUGGGGCGGUCUCCUCCUAAAGAGUAACGGAGGAGCACGAAGGUUGGCUAAUCCUGGUCGGACAUCAGGAGGUUAGUGCAAUGGCAUAAGCCAGCUUGACUGCGAGCGUGACGGCGCGAGCAGGUGCGAAAGCAGGUCAUAGUGAUCCGGUGGUUCUGAAUGGAAGGGCCAUCGCUCAACGGAUAAAAGGUACUCCGGGGAUAACAGGCUGAUACCGCCCAAGAGUUCAUAUCGACGGCGGUGUUUGGCACCUCGAUGUCGGCUCAUCACAUCCUGGGGCUGAAGUAGGUCCCAAGGGUAUGGCUGUUCGCCAUUUAAAGUGGUACGCGAGCUGGGUUUAGAACGUCGUGAGACAGUUCGGUCCCUAUCUGCCGUGGGCGCUGGAGAACUGAGGGGGGCUGCUCCUAGUACGAGAGGACCGGAGUGGACGCAUCACUGGUGUUCGGGUUGUCAUGCCAAUGGCACUGCCCGGUAGCUAAAUGCGGAAGAGAUAAGUGCUGAAAGCAUCUAAGCACGAAACUUGCCCCGAGAUGAGUUCUCCCUGACUCCUUGAGAGUCCUGAAGGAACGUUGAAGACGACGACGUUGAUAGGCCGGGUGUGUAAGCGCAGCGAUGCGUUGAGCUAACCGGUACUAAUGAACCGUGAGGCUUAACCUUA